RNAcentral lists this ribosomal RNA (497 nucleotides) under uncultured bacterium. RNAcentral's name for it is "partial 16S ribosomal RNA". It matches the Rfam family "Bacterial small subunit ribosomal RNA", at positions 28 to 507 of the family's 1533-position model. The record is from RNAcentral.
GAUGAACGCUGGCGGCGUGCCUAAUACAUGCAAGUCGAGCGAACAGACGAGGAGCUUGCUCCUCUGACGUUAGCGGCUGACGGGUGAGUAACACGUGGAUAACCUACCUAUAAGACUGGGAUAACUUCGGGAAACCGGAGCUAAUACUGGAUAAUAUAUUGAACCGCAUGGUUCAAUAGCGAAUGACGGUUUUGCUGUCACUUAUAGAUGGAUCCGCGCCGCAUUAGCUAGUUGGUAAGGUAACGGCUUACCAAGGCAACGAUGCGUAGCCGACCUGAGAGGGUGAUCGGCCACACUGGAACUGAGACACGGUCCAGACUCCUACGGGAGGCAGCAGUAGGGAAUCUUCCGCAAUGGGCGAAAGCCUGACGCAGCAACGCCGCGUGAGUGAUGAAGGUCUUCGGAUCGUAAAACUCUGUUAUUAGGGAAGAACAACUGUGUAAGUAACUAUGCACGUCUUGACGGUACCUAAUCAGAAAGCCACGGCUAACUACGUG